RNAcentral lists this ribosomal RNA (439 nucleotides) under uncultured bacterium. RNAcentral describes it as "partial 16S ribosomal RNA". It matches the Rfam family "Bacterial small subunit ribosomal RNA", at positions 339 to 795 of the family's 1533-position model. The record is from RNAcentral.
CUACGGGGUGCAGCAGUGGGGAAUAUUGCACAAUGGAGGAAACUCUGAUGCAGCAACGCCGCGUGGAGGAUGACACUUUUCGGAGCGUAAACUCCUUUUAUAUAGGAAGAAGAUGACGGUACUAUAUGAAUAAACGCCGGCUAACUCCGUGCCAGCAGCCGCGGUAAUACGGAGGGCGCAAGCGUUACUCGGAAUCACUGGGCGUAAAGAGCGUGUAGGCGGAUUAAAAAGUCAGAAGUGAAAUCCUAUAGCUUAACUAUAGAACUGCUUCUGAAACUCUUAAUCUAGAAUAUGGGAGAGGUAGAUGGAAUUUCUGGUGUAGGGGUAAAAUUCGUAGAGAUCAGAAGGAAUACCGAUUGCGAAGGCGAUCUACUAGAACAUUAUUGACGCUGAGACGCGAAAGCGUGGGGAGCAAACAGGAUUAGAUACCCCGGUAGUC